AAUAAGACAGCCUUUUUGCUAAUUAAAAUGAUUAUUAAGAAACCAUUUAUUGAGAAUGAACACAGUUGUUAGAACCUAGGAGAAUUCUGCACUCUUAAUAAUAAUAACAGCAGCCAUCAGCAGCCCUGUGGGCCACCAGUUCACCUGCCCCAUUCCUGAAUUCAAAUGGGGUGAUACUCUGCCUGGGGGCCCAGGGUUUCAAACCCCUCCCUCUCCAGGCGCCUCCAGGACCACAUGCUGCCUGCGUUGCUAGGGAUGCUCAUUUCCCACCCACCCCUCUCCUGCACUAGGGUUCUUACCGUAGAGUCUGGGCCGAGUAUGGAAGCAGGGCGGUUUGCCUGUCAGAGAGCCUGGUGCGCACCGAGCAUAGCUGGGCAGGCAGGCUGUGAAACCUCAGGCCUCACUCCAUCUCCCUGGGUCUCGGCCUCCCAGACUAUGUGUCAAAAGGGUGGGUGGGCUGCAUGGCCUCAGAGGUCCCUACCUCUCUUGGAGCUCGAUGCUAAGGCAUCUGAUGGAGCCUUCACUCCCAGAAAGGCACACCUCUGGGUAAUGCGGGAGCUUGGGACCGGCAGAGCCACGCGGCUCCUUGCGGUUCUCCUCCCCUCCCUCUUCGGGAGGGCUGUGCAGGCAGCCGAGGCAAGGCACUCUUGUCGCGAAACGCAUGAGGAGCCUCAGAGACGCCCUGCCUCCCGCAAGGAAGAAGCGGGGCGCGGUGUAGCGAGGCGAGACCCAGGCGCCGGGCCCGAGGCGUGGAGCCUGGGAGCCAGAGCCUGGAGAGGAUUGGACCGCUACCUAAAGCAAUACCCGGGACGGGGGCGCGGAAGGGGACAACUCAGAUCGAAGGUGGUGCAGCAAUGCGGCAGUGCAGAGAGGCCCCGGGGAAUUUUUAGGGACGUCGUCUGGGCUGUGUAUGUCUUCAGGGGCCGUGAGUCCACGUGCUCUGACUCCCCCUUCCCCACUGUCCUCCCCGGGUCCUUCCAGGAACCUGGUCCGCAGCCUAUUAAAAAGAUUUUAAAGUGUUACAGUGGAGAACGUGGGCUUUUGAGUCCCACAGACCUGGGCUCCAGGCUGGUCGGCCGAAUUACUAGCUUUGUGACCUUUUGUGGCUCCAUUGAGCCUUAGUUUCUUCCCACGGAGCAAUUGUAAGGAUUGUAUGCAACCAGGGCGGUGAGGUCGCCCAGUCGGAAGCUGGUGACCCAAGCGCCAGGGUCAGUGGACUGCACACUCAGGUGCAGGUGCAGAAGCUUCAAGGCCAGACCUCAAGGCUCAGACGGCUCCUCCCUGCACGGGGGCUCUCGGGCAGGCAGGUCAGCGCCCCAAGAUGAAUCUGAGACCUUAGCGGGGGGCGACUACCCGCUUGUCUCCCGGGUGGGGCUGGGGCCUGGGUGUCUCGUCAGAGCUCCCCAGGGGGUUCCUCGGUGCUCCCAGACUUGAGCACCAGUUUCGCGGAAGAAAUAAACAAAGAGGCUUUGGUGGGGAGGGAGGGAAG
RNAcentral lists this long non-coding RNA (1489 nucleotides) under Felis catus (domestic cat). RNAcentral describes it as "lncRNA (ENSFCAG00000053422.1)". Lineage: Eukaryota; Metazoa; Chordata; Mammalia; Carnivora; Felidae. The record is from RNAcentral.